This 497-nucleotide ribosomal RNA is filed under the name uncultured bacterium. RNAcentral's name for it is "partial 16S ribosomal RNA". It matches the Rfam family "Bacterial small subunit ribosomal RNA", at positions 28 to 507 of the family's 1533-position model. The record is from RNAcentral.
GAUGAACGCUGGCGGCGUGCCUAAUACAUGCAAGUCGAGCGAACAGACGAGGAGCUUGCUCCUCUGACGUUAGCGGCGGACGGGUGAGUAACACGUGGAUAACCUACCUAUAAGACUGGGAUAACUUCGGGAAACCGGAGCUAAUACCGGAUAAUAUAUUGAACCGCAUGGUUCAAUAGUGAAAGACGGUUUUGCUGUCACUUAUAGAUGGAUCCGCGCCGCAUUAGCUAGUUGGUAAGGUAACGGCUUACCAAGGCAACGAUGCGUAGCCGAUCUGAGAGGGUGAUCGGCCACACUGGAACUGAGACACGGUCCAGACUCCUACGGGAGGCAGCAGUAGGGAAUCUUCCGCAAUGGGCGAAAGCCUGACGGAGCAACGCCGCGUGAGUGAUGAAGGUCUUCGGAUCGUAAAACUCUGUUAUUAGGGAAGAACAAAUGUGUAAGUAACUAUGCCCGUCUUGACGGUACCUAAUCAGAAAGCCACGGCUAACUACGUG